GAUGAACGCUGGCGGCGUGCCUAAUACAUGCCAGUCGAGCGAACGGACGAGAAGCUUGCUUCUCUGAUGUUAGCGGCGGGCGGGUGAGUAACACGUGGAUAACCUACCUAUAAGACUGGGAUAACUUCGGGAAACCGGAGCUAAUACCGGAUAAUAUUUUGAACCGCAUGGUUCAAAAGUGAAAGACGGUCUUGCUGUCACUUAUAGAUGGAUCCGCGCUGCAUUAGCUAGUUGGUAAGGUAACGGCUUACCAAGGCAACGAUGCAUAGCCGACCUGAGAGGGUGAUCGGCCACACUGGAACUGAGACACGGUCCAGACUCCUACGGGAGGCAGCAGUAGGGAAUCUUCCGCAAUGGGCGAAAGCCUGACGGAGCAACGCCGCGUGAGUGAUGAAGGUCUUCGGAUCGUAAAACUCCGUUAUUAGGGAAGAACAUAUGUGUAAGUAACUGUGCACAUCUUGACGGUACCUAAUCAGAAAGCCACGGCUAACUACGUG
This 497-nucleotide ribosomal RNA is filed under the name uncultured bacterium. Its description in RNAcentral is "partial 16S ribosomal RNA". It matches the Rfam family "Bacterial small subunit ribosomal RNA", at positions 28 to 507 of the family's 1533-position model. The record is from RNAcentral.